Molecule: ribosomal RNA, 448 nt
Filed under: uncultured bacterium
Lineage: Bacteria
Description: bacterial SSU rRNA
Rfam family: Bacterial small subunit ribosomal RNA
Source: RNAcentral
UUCCAGACUCCUACGGGAGGCAGCAGUAGGGAAUAUUGCACAAUGGGGGAAACCCUGAUGCAGCGACGCCGCGUGAGUGAAGAAGUAUUUCGGUAUGUAAAGCUCUAUCAGCAGGGAAGAAAAUGACGGUACCUGACUAAGAAGCCCCGGCUAACUACGUGCCAGCAGCCGCGGUAAUACGUAGGGGGCAAGCGUUAUCCGGAUUUACUGGGUGUAAAGGGAGCGUAGACGGCAUGGCAAGUCAGAUGUGAAAGCCCGGGGCUCAACCCCGGGACUGCAUUUGAAACUGUCAGGCUGGAGUGCGGGAGAGGUAAGUGGAAUUCCUAGUGUAGCGGUGAAAUGCGUAGAUAUUAGGAGGAACACCAGUGGCGAAGGCGGCUUACUGGACUGUAACUGACGUUGAGGCUCGAAAGCGUGGGGAGCAAACAGGAUUAGAUACCCUAGUACC